RNAcentral lists this ribosomal RNA (244 nucleotides) under uncultured bacterium. Its description in RNAcentral is "partial 16S ribosomal RNA". It matches the Rfam family "Bacterial small subunit ribosomal RNA", at positions 116 to 354 of the family's 1533-position model. The record is from RNAcentral.
CGUAGGGAACCUGCCCAUGCGGCCGGGACAACUUCCGGAAACGGAUGCUGAUACCGGAUAAGGAAAGCGAGGCAUCUUUGCUUUGUUAAAGGAGCUGCAAGGCUCCGCGCAUGGAUGGACCUGCGGUGCAUUAGCUGGUUGGUGAGGUAAAGGCUCACCAAGGCGACGAUGCAUAGCCGGCCUGAGAGGGCGAACGGCCACACUGGGACUGAGACACGGCCCAGACUCCUACGGAAGGCAGCAG